UUCGCCUCUUAUUGGCUAGAAAAGCUAGAAACGUCAUCACACGCUCAAGCCAAACAGUCAGCACUUAUAGCCAAUCAGAGGCGAUAAGAUAAGCACAUGAAACUAUGGUAACAACCGUUAGCUUACGUUAGCACAGAUGAAAGUUAAAACAAAGAUGUUUAUCAAACUGUUAAAGCACACAAACCAUCGUCAUAUGAGAAAUCCGACGCUAUGUUGUCCUUCAGGUCGUUAUCUUUGUAAUAUUUGUGUUUUUUCUCAUAAAGCACUCUGUUCUUCGACACGUAAACAAUCAACCGGUCGGCCAUGUUGGUGAAUUAGACGUUGCAACAACACGAAAUCUGAUUGGUCAGAAGUGGACACACAGUAUGCAAAACUUUAGAAAAAUCGACCAUGAUCCGAAAAAAUAAAUGCUGCAAUAUCGCAGGACGGGAAAACGUCGCUGAUGUGAACGCUUGUAUUGACAGGAGAGACAAUAAUGUCAACACAACAAUAAACAUUUUUUACCAGAAUGUUAUAAACCCCAGUAUGAGAUGAUCAGAAAUUCAAAUAGUUUCACAUUUUACAUGAGUAACUUUAAGUCUUUAAUGAUAUUUAGUGUUUUCCUGUUUAGGAAUCUGAUUUUUUUAAAGAUGUAUUUCAAGGAAAAAGUCCAUCUUAAACUCAGGUCAAUAAGUAGAUAAUUAGAUUUAAAAUAAGGCUUUAAGAUUACAUCAAAGGUAAAUGAGAGAUGAUAAUGAUUUUUCUACUCUGCCAGGUAUGACUUCAUCCCUCAAAACAUGGCCGCUGUCUUUGUAUUUCUUCAGGUUUUCACACUGAAUUUCUCUCUUUUUUUCUAAUCUCACCUCUAAAAUCACCUCAUGUCAGUUAAUAAAUCUAUUGAUCAAUCUCCUAGAGCUUGAUUCCCUCUGACAGCCGUGUGGUUCUACUCCCGGUGGACGUAAGCCGGCGCAAACACUCAACGUUUCAGGAAUCGGCUGACCUUAAAGAGAAGAUUUAACGUCUUUCUCGUCUUUUAAAGCUUUCCAGUAACACAGCGGUUUGGUGACGUCUUUGGUGUCGGUACAAUCAGCCGUGGAAAAUAGAUUCUCUUUAAAGAAUAUGACCCGAGAGUUAAUUAUUUAUGACGGCCAUAAAUGAUAAAUGCCGACAAGUGACACCGAAGCUGAGGAGAUGCUUUUAAACGGGUGUUUGAAAUCAAAAUCUCCACGUGUGAGCGCUCAACAGAGAGGUCUGAGACUGAACACCCUCCCUCCCCUCUCCUCUUCUCCCCCUGCCUCAUGUUUCAUUUAUUGUGCUGCACUGAAUUGAUCUCCUGCUGAGCAUUGAUUGCCGGUUUAGUGAAGGUAUUGAUGUAUUGAUACUUGAAGCUUCUAUUAUGAGCAUUCACCGCAGGCAAAGCGACGCCUUAAUCACUGUAAUCCUGUCCAAAUACACCUCGAGAUUUCCACGUUAAAAGUAGAGAUAUGCCGUAUUAAACACUGUCAUUUUUGUUUGAGUCGUGUGUUGAAUUGUGGGGUAUUUAUCGCAGAUCACUAGAGUUUUCUUCUUCGCGGGAACAGCUGGCAAUCAGUUGCAUCGGCGUGUGCCAACUCCUCUGGCUGUUUCUGCAGAGACCAACACGUAGCUCCUCCAUCUGCGGUUCCUCCACAGCGUUUCUGCCGAGCUCAGGUCAGGCGGCUCUUUGCACUGAAACCUACAGACUUGGAAUGAAAUAUUCAUCUGUAUGAAAAUGAAGGAUAACAUGAAGGCAGCUGGCAGGAGUCGAGCUGAAGACAGAACGAUUCCAUCUCCAUGAACAAUGCAGCAGAGAUUUAACCCGCGCCGUCUUCUCUCUCAGGAUGUUUUAAGAAGCUCAUACUGCAGGUUUUUUUCCCCAUUUUCACUAUAUUUAAAUCCUGAUGCACAAAACCGCAAAUGCUCAGAGUUAGAAGGUCAUUCGUGCAGGUUGAGCUGGCGCUUAGGGCAAAGCAUCAUCUGCUGAUGACACAAGGUCGAGUCUGUUGUGUUUUCUGGGUUGUGGGUUUGUUUUGCCGCUCGGUGCUGUGUGUUCAACUUUCAUUUUCAGUGGACAAAACUUCGCUCUGUAACACAUACUACACGCUACAUCGACUGAAUCUCAAUUUCCACCUCAAAUCUCAGCCUUGGGCCUUUAAAGACAUGAUAAUUGGGUUCUUUUCAACACAACAAGUGGCUUUAUAUCUCUAAUGUGUGCAUGUAAACAAAGAACUUCUAAUCUUGACUGAGUUCUGCACUGAAAGUCCGUCAGGUGAAAAUGCACAAAAACUAGCAUAGCACAGUAAAAGUAAUUUUCUACAUCCUUAAAGGUCCUUACACACUGGCAAAGACGCGAAAUUACGAAAUAUUUGGAGGCGAAUUUUGACGCACCUGACUAUACACAUCAAACCCGAUGCGAUUUUGCGACUUUCCGGGGGGAAAAAAGACACAUCCCGCGUGGAAGCGAGAGGACUGACACAACAGCAGACUGAGUGUUUUUCAGUUCUGAUUAGACACUAGUGUUGAGAUGUCUGUCUGUCAUGAUAGCAUGCACUGAGUCUGGGCCAGUACCAGAUAAGAACAUUAAACUAUAAUCCAUAAACGUAAGGUAACAACCGAGACCUAAUGUAGCUGUGACAGCAAGGUGAUUGAGUUUGAGACAGUGAAAAUACAUAUGGUAUGUUGUAUCUGAACAGGUUAGCUUACGAGCUAAAGUUACUUAGCACAGAUGAAAGUUAAAACAAAGAUGUUUAGCAAACUGUUAAAGCACACAAACCAUUGUCAUAUGAGAAAUCCGACGCUAUGACUCUCCACAAGUUGUCCUUCAGGUCGUUAUCUUUGUAAUAUUUUUGUUUUUUAUCAAAAAGCACUCUGUUCUCCGACACGUAAACAAUCAGCCGGUCGGCC
Non-coding RNA from Xyrichtys novacula (pearly razorfish), 2901 nucleotides. Lineage: Eukaryota; Metazoa; Chordata; Actinopteri; Labriformes; Labridae. The record is from the annotation of a GenBank genome assembly.